Pogona vitticeps (central bearded dragon) is the source of this 1937-nucleotide long non-coding RNA. Lineage: Eukaryota; Metazoa; Chordata; Lepidosauria; Squamata; Agamidae. The record is from Ensembl.
GUCUUUUAAAGAUAACUUUGGUUUAUUGAUUACAGAAAUCGAUAGUGAUUCAUGAAUAUCUUCUUUAAGUAAAUUUAUUAUUAAUAACAAUCUUCUAUUUGAUAAUACACCCCUAACUCUAAUCACCUCUCAGAUUUCCCCAAAUUGCACACUCCAUCUCCUUCUCCCUUCUCUCACUCUGCUCCAACUCCUCUGACUGACUGACUGACUGACUCUCUUCAGGCUCCGCCUCUUAUCACAUCUCUGUUGGCUCCACCUCUCAGCAUCAUGAAUAUCCAUGAACAAUUACCAUAACAAAACAAGAACCAUUGACAUAAUAAAGGGGAAUGCUACAGUCAUAUUGAGUAAAAGAAGGGUGGGGGUUAUCAUCUGGGGACAGUCCCUAGGGAAGUAUUAUAACUGGAAGAAUAGGAUAUUAUUUACUUCCCCUUCCCCCCAGCAUUGGCUGUUCAGCAUAAUUGAUCCAGAGGGUGAUGCUCCAAGUACAUUGAAGGUGGUGACAGCUAGAGGCGGACAUGCAGUGGUUCGAGAGCAGGAGUCAGGGCCAGUGGAGAUGAUAAUGUUGGAUGUGCAACAGGCUGGAAGGGUCCCCAGGGGGACUGAGAUGCAGAGUUGCAAUGUGGCAACUGACACCAAGCACAAUGGUGAGAGUAGUUCAUUGUACUGUGAGAGCAGCACAGCUAUAGCAGGUGAACUAGCUGUUGCACUGGACAUGAGUAAGGCAUCAACAUUUUGGCCUUGGUGUAGUGAUCCAGCCAUGAAUCAACUGGGAUGGGCACAAUCAGCAAUACAAGGACCAGGGGAAUUGGCAGGCCAGGUAGCCUUCUCAGGGAGGAAUAACAAUACAUGGAGGGCACCUUAUCCACAGGCAUCCUUUCCAGCCCCUUUUGGUACUUACAAUGGGUGUGGGUGUCUGGCCAUAUCCAUCAGUACCUGACACUGGAUAUAAUUCAAUCCCUUUGAGGGUUCUCCCAUUUGGAGACUAUGCCCUGCUGAUUGGAGACCACCUAACCCCUGCCAUGAAGGAGCAUAUUUAGAAAGUAGAGUAUAUAGAUGUUUUCGAUUUAUUGAAUUGUGAUGUAGAUGCCAAGUUUUUAGAGAAAGAGGAUGAGGUUGAGAAAGAAAGGCGGCAAUGCAAGAGGUCUGAGCGAACCUGGGCCAAUUGGUUACCAGGUUUUCUCAUAUACUCAGGAGUGAGAGUUAAGGCUCAGCCUUGGAGAGCAUUAUCUUCGUUGCAGUAUUAAUCUAUAGAGCAUAUACAGAUUCCCCGGGUUAGACCUGGCUCCUUUAUGAUCAGAAUUUCUGCAUGAGAGCAGCAAUGCAUCCAAACAUGAGAUGGGACGAGCCACAUCCUGGGCUUUGGCUUCAUACCAUGAUGCAAGCCCACCCAGGUGAUAGAUUUGACAGUGGUCAUUUGAUCUGAAAGGCAGCCCAGGCUAAUAUACCCCAUGUUACUCCAUGCUGGGAGUUCAGUUCGAAGGGAUCAUGCUCCAGGAAGGCACUGAAAUGGAGCCUCUUUGCCACCCCCCACUGGGAUGAGAUGAGAUGAGAAUCUCACUCUUCAUCCGGAGGACGGGGCUGGGGAGUGCAGUAUAUAGCUUUGUUUCCCCAGCCUCUGUUGAGGUUUUCUUCCCAGCUACCCACCUUUCAUCUAGUGUGAGUCUGACUGGUCACCUUUUUGGGGGCCGGAUAGGAAUUUUUUCCCUGAUAUCAAGAUGCUUAUGGUUAGCAGGGUUUUUUUUUUUUUUUGCCUACUUUGGUAUAAGUUUGUUGUUUUGAAGUGUUAGGAUUUGUUUAUUAGUCACACUGGCUGGUAGUGCAGAAACAACAAUGAUCGAUGAAUGCCCAGAGAAUACAAUGAAGGUGCUAGCCCAACUAACCUCACAGCACUGCAGAUCAUGAGGUUACAGUGAGUUUGGGCUUGGCCCUCUGUGCUA